Molecule: long non-coding RNA, 1637 nt
Filed under: Piliocolobus tephrosceles (Ugandan red Colobus)
Lineage: Eukaryota; Metazoa; Chordata; Mammalia; Primates; Cercopithecidae
Description: lncRNA (ENSPTEG00000005509.1)
Source: RNAcentral
UACAUAUAUAUAUAUAUGUUUUGAUUUUUUUUUUUUUUUUUUAUGUACACCUGAUCAACUGCAAACACGUAACAACCUUUCAUCAAUUACCCAUCAACUUCUUGUUUACCUCUAAAUGAAUAUAAAUAUCGCAUAUAGUAAAAUUUAAGCGCAAAAUUAUGUGUAUAUCGAUACAUACAUAACAGAGAUAUACCAAAUUUCGAUAACAUAUAUAUGCACACGUAAAGACGUAUAUAACUCGAAAAACACCCGUUAAACGAAAUGUACAUACAAUUGUAUUUUAUCAUUUUCAUGUUUGAAUAUGUUUAUUCACGAGUUGCUUUUAUCAAUGUUCAUAAAAAUAGUAUAAUUAAAAACAAAAUAAAUACUAACACCCCAUGUAAUAAAAAUGUCUUAUAUCAAGGUAGCACGAAGACUCUUAUGCCACAGGCCAUUACAAAAAAACAAAUAAUAGAAGAAGUUUCUAUAGAAACAAAAGAAAAUAAAAAAACAGUUGAAAAAAUUAUGAAUGGCAUAUUUGAUAAUAUAUAUAGACAUUUGGAAAAUAACGAAAAAAUAUAUAUACAUAAAUUUGGAAUGUAUUAUAACGUUUUUCGAAAACAAAGACGUAUUAAAAAUGUACGAACAAAAGAAGAUGUUAAUAUAGAAAGUAGUCAUAUGCCACAUUUCAAAUUCUCAAAAAUAUUUAAAGACUUGAUAAAAUCAAAUAUUAAAGUAGAUAGAGAAAAAGAAAAUGCCCGUGAAAAUGAAUUUGAUGAGGAGAACAUACAUAUGGAUAAUGUUAAUGAGAAUUUUAAUGAAAAGGUUAAUGAAAAAUUAAUUUAUUAAAAUGAUAUUUGAAAAAGUUUGGUAACGGGAUUGAAAUAGUCUUGCAAAAAAAAAAAAAAAAAAAAAAAAAAAAGUAGGACUAAUAAGAGUAUAAGUUAUAUGAAAGUAAAAUAUUCAUAUAAAUGUGAAUUUUGCAACUUAUACUUAUACAUGUAUAUAAAUAUAUGUAUAUAUGUUUUAAUUCAUUUUUUCUAACAACUACAAAUGCUUGAGCAUAUUUUAUUUUGUUUUAUCCUUGUUUAGCUUUUUUUUUUUUUUUUUUUUUUUUUUUGGCUUAUUUUCUAUGUCUAAAAGUUUUUAACAUUUUUACGCACAUAUGUGUUAAAAAUUGGAUAUAUGCUGCAUGUAUAUUACAUAUACAUGUAGUUUUUUUUAAGUUAUUAUAAAUUUGACAUUUUUACUGUAAUGUGUGAAUACAUUUUUUUUUUUUUUUUUUUUUUUCUAAUCUUGAAUUGUUGUUUUUAGAAAAAUGAAACAUUAUGAGAUACAUCUUUUUAUUUUAUAUUAUAAUGCAUACAUAAAUUUUAAUAAUGUUUAUGUUCAAAAAAAAAAAAAUAAGUAAAAAAAAAAAAAAAAAAAGAAUAGUAAUAGUAAUAGUAGUAGUAAUAAUAAUAGUAAUAAUAAUAAUAAUGAUAAUAAUGAUAAUGAUAAUGAUAAUGCAAUAAGCUAGAACAAGUUGUUGCAUAAAAAAUAAGAUUAAUACAAUUUCAAAUGAAACAAAUGUAUAUGAAAAAUAAUAUUUAGCGAAUUAAAAAAAAAAAAAAAGUAAAAAUGUUAAAUAAAUAAAUAAAUCAUUUUUUGUAUAUACA